GCACCGAAGGCGGGGAUUGGUCUACGCGCACGCCUGAUGAGCGUGUUACUAGCAGGUUCGAGUCCUGCUCGGUGUACCA
This 79-nucleotide transfer RNA is filed under the name Leptolyngbya sp. FACHB-1624. RNAcentral describes it as "tRNA-Ile". It matches the Rfam family "tRNA". Rfam says of the family: Transfer RNA (tRNA) molecules are approximately 80 nucleotides in length. The record is from RNAcentral. RNAcentral also lists the same sequence under 2 other names. Lineage: Bacteria; Bacillati; Cyanobacteriota; Cyanophyceae; Leptolyngbyales; Leptolyngbyaceae.